Sapajus apella (tufted capuchin) is the source of this 169-nucleotide long non-coding RNA. RefSeq lists it as uncharacterized. Lineage: Eukaryota; Metazoa; Chordata; Mammalia; Primates; Cebidae. The transcript has 2 exons. The record is from RefSeq and is a predicted model, not a curated record.
AUUACGAGCGUGAGCCAAUGUGCCCGGCCAAUGGUACCUCUUUUUAACCCUCACUACUCUCUAUCCAUUCUCUGCUUAAAUUUUGUCCGUAACCUUAACCUCUAACAUACUAUGUAUUUUCCUUGUUUAUUAUCUAUCUUACACUAUUAUAUCAUAAGCUUCAUGAGGA